CCAUGUAAGUUUUUCUUAUCGAUUCGACCGCAAUUAGUUAAUAACACUUGAAUUUUUUCCCAAAGUAUAAAUACCGAGAAUCAAUACAUUGUAGUUAUCAGUUUUUCUUGUCUAAAGUUGUCUCAACAGCAAAUUAAUCUGCAACUAUGUUUGCUUCCAAAGUUUUUACUAUUUUGUUCUCGUUGGCGGUGAUUGUUUUGGCCGUAAACGGCAAGGACUCAGGUGUGUGCAAGGAUAUUUGCCCUAAACCACUGCCUUCGCAAACCGUGCUGUUGGCAUCUCCCGAACGUUGUGAAGAUUAUUGCGCUUGCACUCCUCGUGGUGCUGAGCUCCUGACCUGUCCCGUGUGGGAUCAAGAAACAGGUGAACGCCUAUAUUUCAACCCCAAAAUGAAGGUGUGUGACUGGCCCGAAAACUCUGGCUGCGUCAACUAAGAACAAAGAACUACAAAAACAUUGUAAAGGAUAAGAAAAAUAAAGAAACAUUUAUUCUAA
Molecule: long non-coding RNA, 494 nt
Organism: Dalotia coriaria
Lineage: Eukaryota; Metazoa; Arthropoda; Insecta; Coleoptera; Staphylinidae
Exons: 2
Source: RefSeq, a predicted model, not a curated record